CCCCGGGAGCCCGAGCGCUGUGCACGCGCAGGAGCGGGCUUUGGGGGCGGGGGUGCAACACAGCCAAUGGGCAACACGGCGCCUUUCGGGGACAAAGGAUUCUGACGUGGUUCCCUCUGAGACUGAAGUUGAUCCCUGUCGAUGUCUCCAGUGUCACUCUGCAAACUGAAGCAUCAACUGCUGAGGCAAGCAACAGUGGUUUGUGUCAUGGAAUUGUCUUCUUCUCCUGGCCCUGGACCCUAUGGAUAUCAAGACCAGCGACAUAAUUUGUGUGACCCAGUGCAAAACGAAAAUGUGGGGCUAUUUGUUCAAAAACCAGGAAUAAAGUGCCAUUAAAGAGCGCAGGGGGUUGCAGGCCGGAUAACAGAAACCCAGCCCUGCCCACUGGGUGAAGCUGCAGCUCUCCCACACAGCGAUCUGCAAAUCGAGAGCGUGAGAAACCUGCAAGUGGAGAGAGGAGCCAGAAGUAAUGCCUUCGAAAAUGGAACGGAUGCCUUCUCCUGAAAGAAAACAUUUGUGGAAGUAUUCAGUUAUGAUCACAAACUACUUCUUGUGAAUUAUCUGUGAUGACUACAUUGAUUUCCCCUGAAGAUUUAUACAGCCAGGAUGUUUGAAAGCUUGGACAUCAUCUCCUCUGACAUAAACAAUUUUCUGUGAAACCUUUCCAUGUUAACUUGUAGUACCUGAUUCUCAAGCCUGAUAUACAAUUAAUGUAUUCUCUUCUCCCACAAAAUGUGUUUGUCGCUGUUUUGCUGUUAUCCUCAAAGUAUACACUUUCUUCUCCUAACCGUGGGCCCCAAAUCCCACACAAUGAGGGCGAACCACAGAGUAGCAGAGAGAAAAGAACAUUGCUUUUCUUACAUGAAGACUUUUCAUCCAAUUCCACCUCUCUGUUCUGUGGAUACUAUUUGGUGUUGGGGAAAUAGUAGCAUUCACAAUUUGGUCUUCUAGAUUUAAUUUAUACUACUUCAAUUGGUGCCUUAAAAAAAAGCACCUCAAAAAAGCAAAAUGGGGUGCCCUAAAUGCUGGGUUUUCUCCGCCUUUGGUCCAAGGGGUACCCAAGGCUCAGUGUAUAUUCAUCAUCACCAAAAUAUUGCCUUGUAGAUAUUUUUGAGAGCCAGAGAUGAGUUUAUAAUGUUUUACAGGCCUGGUUUGGAGCUCUACGUCCUUUUCCUUUUUGGUAGUCAACUUGUUAUAUCUGUGAUGAAAACAGUCACUGUGUGUGCCUAAGUACAUUCAGAACCAGAAACCAACAAAAAAAAUCAAGAUUCCAAUAACUCAGGAGAACCUACCAGAUUCGGACCAUCUGACAGUCUCAUCUCGACACCUACCAGUCUUCACUGAUCAGAAAGGUGAUCAGAGCCCUGAGCUCUUGAUUUUAUCACAAAGCGUUUUUUCUUUGUGGGUACCUUGGAUCUGGAGAUAGAGCAUCCGGCGAUCAGAUAAAGCCAUGUGGAGGGCUGAAAGUUUGCUGGAAUGAUGCUUGGGGCACAGUUUAUGCUGUUGGAGCAUUUCCUGUGUGCACUUUGAAACCUCUGAACUCAGUUCUUCAAAGUGAGAGCUACCUUAUUCUGUCUUUCCGCUGAACAAUGCAUCUGCCACUUAUCAUCUUGGUUUUUUUUUUGGCCACCUCCACCCUAAUUGACUUAGCUAACAUUGAUUUAUCAAAGCAAAAGCAUGGCCCUGACUGAGUCAUAAGUUACACUUUUACCUGACAUUAUCUGGACCUUUGGAAAUGAAACAUGCAAAUAAUGGACGUUUUGUGAACAGGUCUACACACACGCACAUAUAUGUGUCUUUCUGUUUGCUUCAUUCAUCAUGUUCUCUAUACUCCCACUGUUUUUCUCCAUACUCCCACUGUUCUUCUCCCCCCUCGCACCCCUUCUCACCCAUAGUAGUUUAGGAGAGAGUUAUGUUUUCUCAUGAGCCAAAAGGUCAUUUUUCAAGUUGAGCCCUGUUAACCUCAGUGACAAAUGCUUGUUUUUCAGAAGUUUCCUCUUUGCAAAACUCUGUUUUCAGGACAGAAGAUUUAUUUCGCUUUAGAGAGCCAGUGUGGUAAGAGGAAACUGAAGCUGGUCUCUGGGUGUGUGUUUGUGCUAAUUUGCUGUACAGUCAAAUGUGGAUAUAGGUCAAUAAAAGCUGUUCUUUGAUCUAUUGCUGCAAAAGAUUCAUUGUAAAUACAUUACUGGAUACGAGGGUUAUGGCUGUGUAACUGCCCCUUGCAAACAGUGCCGUGCCCUGUGCCAUCCUUUAGCACGUACAAGAAGUGAGACAUCUGGCUUCAACCUGCCUGGGUUUUUUU
Lagenorhynchus albirostris (white-beaked dolphin) is the source of this 2302-nucleotide long non-coding RNA. RefSeq lists it as uncharacterized. Lineage: Eukaryota; Metazoa; Chordata; Mammalia; Artiodactyla; Delphinidae. The transcript has 5 exons. The record is from RefSeq and is a predicted model, not a curated record.